Molecule: long non-coding RNA, 2979 nt
Organism: Homo sapiens (human)
Lineage: Eukaryota; Metazoa; Chordata; Mammalia; Primates; Hominidae
Source: Ensembl
AACAGACACUUCCUGUACAGGGGAGGGGGGAGGGGGCCAGGCAGCCGUUAGACAGCACAACCGAACCCAACACCGGGGCCCAACGGCAGGGGCUUGGGCAGGAGCAAGGUCCGAGGGCUGCCAGGUCCACGCUGCUUUUAUGAGCUGUAACACUCACCGCGAAGAUCUGCAGCUUCACUCCUGAGCCCAGCGAGACCACGAGCCCACCGGGAGGAACAAACAACUCCAGACGCGCUGCCUUAAGAGCUGUAACACUUGCCGUGAAGGUCUGCAGCUUCACUCCUGAGCCAGCGAGACCACGAACCCACCAGAAGGAAGAAACUCCGAACACAUCUCAACAUCAGAACGGACAGACUCCAGACGCACCACCUUAAGAGCUGUAACACUCACCGCGAGGUUCCGCGGCUUCAUUCUUGAAGUUCGUGAGCCACACAUCUCCCCACACCAAGCUCCUCCAUACAAGACCUCGGACUGCAUCACGUAAAUGCUUUUUCAGGGGCAAAAUCUAGAGAAUCUGAAACGAGCUAUCAGCUUCCCAGUUUGCACAAUUCAUCAAGAAAUUAUGCGGGGUCACUGGCACAAAUGAUGAGGCAUCUCCUGGAAGCUUAACUUCUUAUCCAUCCCAUCUCUUGGACAGAUGAUGCCAGUUAAUUACUUUGAAUGCUCUGCUGCUAUGGUGAGCUGCACGUCUGGAGGCUUCACAGAGACACUGGGUGAAUCUAAAUGAUGAGUUUGAUGGUGACCUGGAGGUGAAACUGUGACUUCAUGAUGUUCUAGAGGCUGACCUGGGGUCUCCUGCUGGGUCAGAGAAGAUUCGACCUCCCCAGAAGACUCAGAAGGCUGAACUGGCUGCUGCUGCUCACUGAUGGAAAGUUCAUGCUCCAUAGGAGGAACUGGAGGCUCAAUUGGGGCCUCCUGUUGGGUUGCAGAAGGUUCCACCUCCUCUGGAAACUGAAUUGGGGUCUCCUGCUGGGUUUGGGAAGAUUCUGUCUCAUUGGUAGGCUCUGAAGUUAUGGUAACCUCCACAUCUGCAGGUUUAACUGUAAUGUUGGGCAAGUGAUAAUAAGCUUGAUCCUCACCUGGAGGUUGAACUGACACCUCAUGAUUCGGUAGAGUUAGACUCUCCAUAGAGGACUCUGGAGGCAGAGCUGGGGCCUCCUGCUGCAUUGAAGAAGGUUCUUCCUCAAGGAGCUGUGGAAGCUGUGCUGGGGCUUCUUGUUGGAGUGAAGAGGACUGGAUGUCUUCAAGGGUCUCUGGAUUUUGAGUUUCGGGCUCUAGAUGGAAUUGAGAAGGUCCAACUUGCUCAGAGGGCCCUGGAGGCUCAUCUGACUUCACCCGGAGUUCUGGAGGCAGGCUACCGGGAUACGGUGUAUCUGUACUGGAAUAUUCAUUCUGCAAAUUCUGUUUCUGACUAUGAGGUGUGGAUAAUUGGCGUAUAAUUCCAAUAAUCUCAGCAAGGCUCCAACGCUGAGCUGGAUCUUUCUUCAGCUUCUUGGGUGAAACAGGGAGCCUUUCCUGUGGACUCAGCUUGUCCUUUAAAUCCUGCUGUGAAGCCAAGAACUGCUCUGGCUCCAGGGGCAGCUCUCCAGCUGAAUCCCAGGUGUCCAGGAAUGGAACCAAAUUUUCAGUCGAUUCCUGGGGUGGGGCUGGCAUCUCUGAGGAAGCAGAGGGCCCCAGGUGAUCAAAGUCCCACGGGUCUGCUGGGAGAGUAGGCGCAUGGGGAGAUUCCCGUGGGAAAUGGGAGGAGUGGGAAGACCAGGGCUCAGGCGGCCCCAGGGGGUUAGAGGUCAGCUGGAGCGGGUCCUUGACCCACUCCAGAGGCUGAGCCUCCUUGACUAGUAGCCACAAUAGUUGCCACAUAAGGAGGGGCCAUGGGCCCCAGAAACGCAGCCGGGACAUGACACACGCUAGUGCCGGGCACUGAGCGGAAGUCAUUCUGGCAGCUCCGAGACACUCGUGCCCCUUGUAAGCGUGAGUCCCGCCCUGUCUUUAUGACACCUGUAUUUAUGCCACAGAUCUGCUCCAUGUCACCAGGGCACUCUUAUGUCACAAUCCCGCCCAAGCACGCCUUCCCAUCCUGCCCUGCCGGAACACCCCUCUCCUCCCCUUAGUGAGGAAGGAUUUGGGCCUCAGACCCUGGUGGUCCCAGGACUCCAGCGCCUGCUGUGGUGGGGUAGGGUGGGGUAGGGUGGGAUGGGGGCGCGGCAGAGCUUCCCAAGGAAGUCACCGGACCUCGCCUCAGGAUAUUCAGAAGUGCUAGUUCAGUUCUGGCAGCCUUCCUCCUUUAAGGUGAAAUCCGAGAACACUCUUCCUUCCAGGGAGAGCAACUGACCUGCAAAAUGGGCGCCAGGAUGCACAUUACAGUCAUUUAUUCCAAAGUGUUGCCAUUUUCGCUAAACUGUCGCAUGUUUGAUAAUUAAUUCACCACCCUAUUAGGUAGGGGCUGCCAGGGAAUAAGCGAGGACUCCAAAUUUUCUGUAGGAGGGGUGUUGGGAGUUGGCAAUUCGGUCUGGGAGAGAAGGUUUUAAUCCGAGUGAAGAGCCCUUUGCACUAGCCUGGGAGGAGGCUGAACUGUCAUCCUGCCUUGACUCAACACAGCCAUUCCCCUAGAAGUUACAGCACUUCUAGGGUCACCUGUGUUCAGAGAUCUACCCUGUGUGCACACAUGGAGAAGAGGCUUAGGUUGUUAAAGUCAGCAUGUUAAAUCAUUUCCUGAAAUGCGACUGUAACUAGAACCCAGCUGACUUCCCCCACAGCCGUUCUUACCUAUUUUAUUACUGUCUGGCAUAAUUACCAGCAUGUAAACUCCAAGAAGGUGCUUCAUCUUAUUCCAGUGCCUGGCAUAGGCAUAGGGUGCAUAGUGAUGGCUUUAAAAUUGAAGGGGGGCCGGGUGUGGUGGCUCACACCCAUAAUCCCAGAACUUUGGGAGGCCGAGGUGGGGGGAUCACUGAGGUCAGAAGUUCGAGACCAGCCUGACCA